RNAcentral lists this ribosomal RNA (454 nucleotides) under uncultured bacterium. RNAcentral describes it as "partial 16S ribosomal RNA". It matches the Rfam family "Bacterial small subunit ribosomal RNA", at positions 28 to 507 of the family's 1533-position model. The record is from RNAcentral.
GAUGAACGCUGACAGAAUGCUUAACACAUGCAAGUCUACUUGAACUUCGGUUUGGGUGGCGGACGGGUGAGUCACGCGUAAAGAACUUGCCUCACAGAUAGGGACAACAUUUGGAAACGAAUGCUAAUACCUGAUAUUAUGAUUUUAGGGCAUCCUAGAAUUAUGAAAGCUAUAUGCACUGUGAGAGAGCUUUGCGUCCCAUUAGCUAGUUGGAGAGGUAACGGCUCACCAAGGCGAUGAUGGGUAGCCGGCCUGAGAGGGUGAUCGGCCACAAGGGGACUGAGACACGGCCCUUACUCCUACGGGAGGCAGCAGUGGGGAAUAUUGGACAAUGGACCAAGAGUCUGAUCCAGCAAUUCUGUGUGCACGAUGAAGUUUUUCGGAAUGUAAAGUGCUUUCAGUUGGGAAGAAAGAAAUGACGGUACCAACAGAAGAAGUGACGGCUAAAUACGUG